ACAUGUCCGCAUGAUUAAAGGUAUUUUCCGGUAGACGAUGGGGAUGCGUUCCAUUAGAUAGUAGGCGGGGUAACGGCCCACCUAGUCAACGAUGGAUAGGGGUUCUGAGAGGAAGGUCCCCCACAUUGGAACUGAGACACGGUCCAAACUCCUACGGGAGGCAGCAGUGAGGAAUAUUGGUCAAUGGGCGAUGGCCUGAACCAGCCAAGUAGCGUGAAGGAUGACUGCCCUAUGGGUUGUAAACUUCUUUUAUAAAGGAAUAAAGUCGGGUAUGCAUACCCGUUUGCAUGUACUUUAUGAAUAAGGAUCGGCUAACUCCGUGCCAGCAGCCGCGGUAAUACGGAGGAUCCGAGCGUUAUCCGGAUUUAUUGGGUUUAAAGGGAGCGUAGAUGGAUGUUUAAGUCGGUUGUGAAAGUUUGCGGCUCAACCGUAAAAUUGCAGUUGAUACUGGAUGUCUUGAGUGCAGUUGAGGCAGGCGGAAUUCGUGGUGUAGCGGUGAAAUGCUUAGAUAUCACGAAGAACUCCGAUUGCGAAGGCAGCCUGCUAAGCUGCAACUGACAUUGAGGCUCGAAAGUGUGGGUAUCAAACAGGAUUAGAUACCCUGGUAGUCCACACGGUAAACGAUGAAUACUCGCUGUUUGCGAUAUACGGCAAGCG
This 657-nucleotide ribosomal RNA is filed under the name uncultured bacterium. RNAcentral describes it as "bacterial SSU rRNA". It matches the Rfam family "Bacterial small subunit ribosomal RNA", at positions 187 to 845 of the family's 1533-position model. The record is from RNAcentral.